This 29-nucleotide small RNA is filed under the name Bombyx mori (domestic silkworm). RNAcentral's name for it is "ovarian small RNA-3306". The record is from RNAcentral. Lineage: Eukaryota; Metazoa; Arthropoda; Insecta; Lepidoptera; Bombycidae.
UCCAGAUUGCCCAUCAUGCUGCUUGUGGU